This is a long non-coding RNA of Stomoxys calcitrans (stable fly), 411 nucleotides long. RefSeq lists it as uncharacterized. The transcript has 2 exons. Lineage: Eukaryota; Metazoa; Arthropoda; Insecta; Diptera; Muscidae. The record is from RefSeq and is a predicted model, not a curated record.
AAUCAUGAAGUAGCAAAAAGUGGAAGACGGAUGCCAGAGGCCUGAUCACACACAUUGCAUUAUCUCCAAUAUCAUAAGCAACAACAACAACUUUCAAUUUGCUUCUUCAUUUAUUUUUGUGAUUAGCACGCAUGCGCAAAUUUGUGAUGCUGUUAACAUAUGAUUUACGAGAUAAUUAAGACUGGACAGACGCAUGGAUGACGGGUAUGGCGUUGGCAUACAACAUCUCGAGAGAGAAAUACAUAGAUACUUGGGUAGAUAUUAAUAUCAAUCAGAUGAUUGAUUGGCAUGAAACAAUUAGUUUUAAAGCUGUAUGCAUCUAUGUAUUGAUAUCAAUGGGUUGAUACAGAGAAAUGUUGUAUAGUGACUGUUAAUUGUGUCCAUUCAUAGAGAAUACUUUAAUAAAAUUAA